Molecule: ribosomal RNA, 230 nt
Filed under: uncultured bacterium
Lineage: Bacteria
Description: partial 16S ribosomal RNA
Rfam family: Bacterial small subunit ribosomal RNA
Source: RNAcentral
UACGGAGGGUGCGAGCGUUGUCCGGAAUCACUGGGCGUAAAGGGCGCGUAGGUGGCGCAGGAGGUCAACGGUGAAAGUUCGGGGCUCAACCCUGAAUCGGCCGUCGAUACUCCUGGGCUCGAGCACUGUAGAGGCAGAUGGAAUUCCGGGUGUAGCGGUGGAAUGCGUAGAGAUCCGGAAGAACACCGGUGGCGAAGGCGGUCUGCUGGGCAGUUGCUGGACACUGAGGC